RNAcentral lists this ribosomal RNA (824 nucleotides) under uncultured Planctomycetales bacterium. RNAcentral's name for it is "bacterial SSU rRNA". It matches the Rfam family "Bacterial small subunit ribosomal RNA", at positions 104 to 916 of the family's 1533-position model. The record is from RNAcentral. Lineage: Bacteria; Pseudomonadati; Planctomycetota; Planctomycetia; Planctomycetales.
GGGUUAGUAAUGAAUAGGUAACGUACCCUAUGCUCCGGGAUAGCGUCAGAUUACUUCGGUAAUCAUCCGAAAGGGGCGGUAAUACCGGAUAAUAUCACCAUUCGAUGGAUUGGUGAUCAAAGAUUUAUCGGCAAAGGAGCGGCCUAUUUCCCAUCAGCUUGUUGGUGAGGUGAUAGCUCACCAAGGCUAAGACGGGUAGCGGGACUGAGAGGUUGACCCGCAACAUCGGGACUGAGACACUGCCCGGACCUCCACGGAGGGCUGCAGUAACGAAUAUUGCGCAAUGGGCGAAAGCCUGACGCAGCGACGCCGCGUGCGGGAUGAAGUCCCUCGGGAUGUAAACCGCUGUCAGGGGUAAGAAAGUGCGCUUCGGCGUAUUGAUCUAACCCAGAGGAAGUCACGGCUAACUUCGUGCCAGCAGCCGCGGUAAGACGAAGGUGGCGAGCGUUGUUCGGUGUUACUGGGCUUAAAGCGUAUGUAGGCGGGAAGGUAAGCGUCUUGUGAAAUCCCUCGGCUUAACCGAGGAAUUGCUCGGCGAACUACCUUUCUUGAGGCAAGUAGGGGUGCGCGGAACUCUUGGUGGAGCGGUGGAAUGCGUAGAUAUCAAGAGGAACGCCGGUGGUGAAGACGGUGCACUGGGCUUGUCCUGACGCUGAGAUACGAAAGCGUGGGGAGCGAACGGGAUUAGAUACCCCGGUAGUCCACGCUGUAAACGAUGUCUACUAGGCUGUGGGAGUUCUGAUGCUGUCACGGCCGAAGCAAAAGUGUUAAGUAGACCGCCUGGGGAGUACGGUCGCAAGGCUAAAACUCAAAGGAAUUGACGG